RNAcentral lists this ribosomal RNA (392 nucleotides) under uncultured Gammaproteobacteria bacterium. RNAcentral describes it as "bacterial SSU rRNA". It matches the Rfam family "Bacterial small subunit ribosomal RNA", at positions 370 to 779 of the family's 1533-position model. Lineage: Bacteria; Pseudomonadati; Pseudomonadota; Gammaproteobacteria. The record is from RNAcentral.
AAUGGGCGCAAGCCUGAUCUAGCCAUGCCGCGUGGGUGAUGAAGGCCCUAGGGUCGUAAAGCUCUUUCGCCAGGGAUGAUAAUGACAGUACCUGGUAAAGAAACCCCGGCUAACUCCGUGCCAGCAGCCGCGGUAAUACGGAGGGGGUUAGCGUUGUUCGGAAUUACUGGGCGUAAAGCGUACGUAGGCGGAUUAGAAAGUUGGGGGUGAAAUCCCAGGGCUCAACCCUGGAACUGCCUCCAAAACUACUAGUCUAGAGUUCGAGAGAGGUGAGUGGAACUCCGAGUGUAGAGGUGAAAUUCGUAGAUAUUCGGAAGAACACCAGUGGCGAAGGCGGCUCACUGGCUCGAUACUGACGCUGAGGUACGAAAGUGUGGGGAGCAAACAGGAUU